Long non-coding RNA from Mastomys coucha (southern multimammate mouse), 719 nucleotides. RefSeq lists it as uncharacterized. The transcript has 2 exons. Lineage: Eukaryota; Metazoa; Chordata; Mammalia; Rodentia; Muridae. The record is from RefSeq and is a predicted model, not a curated record.
GGCCUCUCCUGCCCGCCUCACUCCAGCCUCCACCGCCUAGGACUCCGCAGGUCUCCACUCGUAGACUCACGGGCCCUGACGAGACUACCCUCACCGGAAGUGCCGUCUAUCGGAGUGCACCGCCAAAAGUCCUCCGCAGCGCGCUGGGGCCACGCAAAAAAUGUUCCGGCGGCAGAGGGCAGCUACUGCCAGAAGAGGGAGCAAAAGAGCAAGUGGUGCCCAAGAGCGUAACUGCCUUCUAGCUCAUCAGCUCUGGGAGGAAAAUAUGAUUAACCGUGCUGGCAGGUGCGGGAAAGCUCUCUGGGUAAAGGAAACCGUACGUGCAGUCUGUAAGGCAUACUGGUGUCGUUGAACUAAGGCCAGAUUGAAGCCUGGGACGGAAGAUGGCAUCUGAUCCCCCGGAACUGAAGUUACAGAUGUUUGCUAUCUGCCGUGUGGAUGAUGGAAAUCAAAUCCGAACCCUCUGGAAUAGCAACAAGUGCUCUUAACUGCAUAGCCAUAGCUCUAACCGCUGCCCUGCCCCACCCCGCCCCACCCCACCCCACCUCCGGGAGCGCCAUGCAAGCUCUUUAAACCAAAAAUCAAAGGAUUCCCUCAAUAAAAGAAAAUAUAUUUAAAGCAUAUUUGUGAAUAGAAGUUAAGACACAUUCAAACUUUUCUCAGUCGUAACUUUGGCUCUGUAUAGUCUUAAGAAUUAAAACUAAGCUAGGGAGAUGAAA